This is a non-coding RNA of Odocoileus virginianus texanus, 1684 nucleotides long. The record is from RefSeq and is a predicted model, not a curated record. NCBI's taxonomy places the organism in Eukaryota, Metazoa, Chordata, Mammalia, Artiodactyla, Cervidae.
AUGCUGAGUGCCAAGACCCCACCCACCAUUAAGGGUAUAAAAGGACCAUGGAGAAAGGAGAGACUCAAACCUCAUCCACUUCCACCUCCAUCAGUUCACCUGUCCUUCCAUCACCUCUCCCAGCACCAUGCCUUACAGCUGCUGCCUGCCCACCUUGAGCUACCGUUCCAGCUGCUCAUCCCGGCCCUGUGUGCCCCAUAGCUGCCGUGGCACCACCCUGCCCGGGGCCUGCAACAUCCCUGCCAAUGUGGGCAGCUGCAACUGGUUCUGCGAGGGCUCCUUCAAUGGCAAUGAGAAGGAGACCAUGCAGUUCCUGAAUGACCGGCUGGCCAGCUACCUGGAGAAGGUGCGGCAGCUGGAGCGGGAGAACGCGGAGCUGGAGAGCCGCAUCCUGGAGCGGAGCCAGCAGCAGGAGCCCCUCUUGUGCCCCAGCUACCAGUCCUACUUCCGGACCAUCGAGGAGCUCCAGCAGAAGAUCCUGUGCGCCAAGUCUGAGAACUCCAGGCUGGUGAUACAGAUCGACAAUGCCAAGCUGGCCUCUGAUGACUUCAGGACCAAGUACGAGACGGAGCGUUCCUUGCGGCAGCUGGUGGAGUCAGACAUAAAUAGCCUGCGUAGGAUCCUGGAUGAGCUGACCCUGUGCAAGGCCGACCUGGAGGCCCAGGUGGAGUCCCUGAGGGAGGAGCUGCUCUGCCUCAAGAAGAACCAUGAGGAGGAAGCCAACUCACUGCGGAGCCAGCUGGGAGACCGCCUCAACGUGGAGGUGGACGCCGCCCCCACUGUGGACCUCAACCGUGUGCUCAACGAGACCAGGGCUCAGUAUGAGGCCUUGGUGGAGACCAACCGCAGGGACGUGGAGGAAUGGUACAUCAGGCAGACUGAGGAGCUGAACAAGCAGGUGGUGUCCAGCUCAGAGCAGCUGCAGUCCUGCCAGGCAGAGAUCAUCGAGCUGAGACGCACGGUCAAUGCCCUGGAGGUGGAACUGCAGGCCCAGCACAACCUGAGAGACUCCCUGGAGAACACCCUGACGGAGACGGAGGCUCGCUACAGCUGCCAGCUGGCCCAGGUGCAGGGCCUGAUCGGCAACGUGGAGUCACAGCUGGCGGAGAUCAGGAGUGACCUGGAGCGGCAGAACCAGGAGUACCAGGUGCUGCUGGAUGUGCGGGCCCGGCUGGAGUGUGAGAUCAACACGUACCGGGGGCUGCUGGACAGCGAGGACUGCAAGCUCCCCUGCAACCCAUGUGCCACCACCAAUGCUAGUGGCAACUCCUGUGGGUCCUGCUCUCAAAAUCGUUGCCGUUAAUUAAAAAACCUGCCUCCUCUUUGAAGAUGACAACGAAGCCUAGAACAAGCACAGAAAAGAUCCCCAGGUCCUGCCUUGGCUGGAGCUCAGUUACCAUUUAGAUACCUUGUCAAGCCAGCUCUGAAACUUUUACACAUGGAAAUGCUCUCCACGAGCCAAGACACACCUCAUCUGCUUCCGAUGUCUGGAAAACUCCCUCCUGCUGAAGGUCAAGUCUCUGUCUCUGAAGACAGUCCAGCAAUCUGAGCUCCAGGUUUUACUUUAGGGUGUUUCCUCUAGGUAUUGUGUUUCCUGCUUUCCUAGCUUCUUUGGUAUUCUCUGGAAUGCAAGGAGGCUACUUCAUUUACUUCCCAAUAAACUUUAUUUCUCUGGCAUAGUAAA